UGGGGAAUAUUGGACAAUGGGGGGAACCCUGAUCCAGCCAUGCCGCGUGUGUGAAGAAGGCCUUAUGGUUGUAAAGCACUUUAAGCGAGGAGGAGGGUACUGGUAUUAAUACUACCAGGUACUGGACGUUACUCGCAGAAUAAGCACCGGCUAACUCUGUGCCAGCAGCCGCGGUAAUACAGAGGGUGCGAGCGUUAAUCGGAUUUACUGGGCGUAAAGCGUGCGUAGGCGGCUAAUUGAGUCGGAUGUGAAAUCCCCGAGCUUAACUUAGGAAUUGCAUUCGAUACUGGUCAGCUAGAGUAUCGGAGAGGAUGGUAGAAUUCCAGGUAUAGCGGUGAAAUGCGUAGAGAUCUGGAGGAAUACCGAUGGCGAAGGCAGCCAUCUGGCCUAAUACUGACGCUGAGGUACGAAAGCAUGGGGAGCAAACAGG
This 430-nucleotide ribosomal RNA is filed under the name Pseudomonadota bacterium. RNAcentral's name for it is "Proteobacteria bacterium partial 16S ribosomal RNA". It matches the Rfam family "Bacterial small subunit ribosomal RNA", at positions 355 to 776 of the family's 1533-position model. Lineage: Bacteria; Pseudomonadati; Pseudomonadota. The record is from RNAcentral.